Molecule: ribosomal RNA, 333 nt
Filed under: Salmonella enterica subsp. enterica serovar Kentucky
Lineage: Bacteria; Pseudomonadati; Pseudomonadota; Gammaproteobacteria; Enterobacterales; Enterobacteriaceae
Description: bacterial LSU rRNA
Rfam family: Bacterial large subunit ribosomal RNA
Source: RNAcentral
GGAGCACAGGUUUACCUGUGUGACUGCGUACCUUUUGUAUAAUGGGUCAGCGACUUAUAUUCUGUAGCAAGGUUAACCGAAUAGGGGAGCCGGAGGGAAACCGAGUCUUAAUUGGGCGUUAAGUUGCAGGGUAUAGACCCGAAACCCGGUGAUCUAGCCAUGGGCAGGUUGAAGGUUGGGUAACACUAACUGGAGGACCGAACCGACUAAUGUUGAAAAAUUAGCGGAUGACCUGUGGCUGGGGGUGAAAGGCCAAUCAAACCGGGAGAUAGCUGGUUCUCCCCGAAAGCUAUUUAGGUAGCGCCUCGUGAAUUCAUCUCCGGGGGUAGAGCA